Molecule: long non-coding RNA, 2763 nt
Filed under: Cicer arietinum (chickpea)
Lineage: Eukaryota; Viridiplantae; Streptophyta; Magnoliopsida; Fabales; Fabaceae
Description: long non-coding RNA (CARI_LNC002516)
Source: RNAcentral
UUUCCCUCUGUAGCCGUGCCUUCCUUCUUUCCUUCUUUUCCUUCUCUGUUUCCACCCCCAAAUCAAAGUUUUGGGUUUUUCUUCAAAAACUCAAAUAUAAACCUCUAUUUUUCUUUGACUUCUAAGCUUUAUUUUCCGAAGUGACAGAAGGAAAAAUUUCUUCUCUCCACGCUAUGGUGCCAGUGACCCAACUAUGAAAGUGACGGCGCGAAUGAAAUUUUUUACCGUAAUUAAUCGCGGUGUCGAAAUCGGUUGUUAAAAUUACAACGGAGGUAAGGGCUCCUUCCAAACUUUUAGUUUGCAUUUAGGACAUUAUUUGUGAUUUUGUGGAAUAGAAAUUUGAUGUAUUUGAGGUGUAAAAUUGUGGAAAAUGAAUUUAAUUUGUUUAUGUGUGAAUUAGUUGAAUUUGAAUUUGAUUUGUUUUGAGGUGUGUUUUGUAGUGAUUAAUGUUGGGUGUAAAUUGUAUGUUUAUAAUUAAUAUUAUGAAUUUUUGAGAUGUGAUUUAGGUGUGAAUUUUGUGGAUAUUAAAUUAAUUAAAUUUGAUGUGUUUGAGUUGUGUAAUGAGUUGUUUUCAAAUAAAUGAGUUUGAAUUGAAGUUGAAAUUUUACAAAAAAUUUAGAGUUGUUAAAGUUGUGGAAAAAAAAUUCAAAUUUUAACUAAGUUAAAGAGUUUGAGUAAAUAGAUAGAUUGAAAUUAAAAAGGGUUAGAGUUUAAAAUGUUACUAUUUUAAUUACUCUUGAACUGAGUUUAAAAAGAAAAAAAAUUUUAUUAACUCAAAAAUUUUGGUACUUUAAUAGUCGCGUGUGUAUGUGAAAUUUGGACAAUAUUUAUUUUAUUUAGUUUUAACUAAAUAAAAAAGAUUAUUUGGUUUUAAAAGUUUAGUGUGUGAGAAAGAUUUAAUUUUGGAAAUUUUGUUGUGUUUGGAUUAAUUUUAUUGUGAACAAAUUGUUAUAAAUAUUUAUGUUUAUGUAGUUAGCUCAUUGAGUCUCGAAAAGGAAUCGAGACCAUUGGCACCGAGUUAGCGGUGGGGAGAACUCUGAUAUAUUAAUGUUGUUGUGGUGAUUUAUAGUUGAAAAUUUUGGAGAUUGAAUUUGAUGAUUAAUGUUUGAAGAUGUGGAGUUUUGAAUUUGGUGAUUUAUGGUUGAAAUUUGUGGAGAAUAAAUUUGGUGAUUAAUGUUUGAAAAUUUUGGAGAUUAAUAUGGGUCAUUUAUGUUGAAUUUGGGGAGAAUUAAAUUUAAUUUAAUUAUGUGUUCAUAAUUGAUAUUAUGAAUGUUUGAUGUGUGUUUGAGGUAUGGGUUGUGGUGAUUUACGGUUGGUGUGAUUUGUGUUCAUAAUGAUUAUUAUGAAUUUUUGGAGAUGUGGUUUAUGUGGGUUUAUGGAAAAUGAAUUUGGUGGGUUAUGUGUGAAAAUGUGGAGUUUCGAAAAUGGGCGAUUUAUGAGUAAAUUUGGUGUGAGUAAAUUGUUGGUUCAUCUGAUCCUUGCAGGGAUUGUCGCGUCGUGCUAAUCUGUGAGAGAUUGCACUCUAGAAUGUGCUGAUCCGUGAGCGAUUGCACUCUAGAAAGUCGUGCUAGUCUGUGAGCGACUACACUCUUGUAUUUCGUGCUGGUCUGUGAGUGACUGCACGCUAGUAAACCAUGCUGAUCUGUGAGAUAUUGCACUCUAGAAUGUGUUGAUCUGUGAGCGAUUACACUCUAGAAAAUCGUGUUGGCCUGUGAGCGACUGCACUCUUGUAUAUCGUGCUGGUCUGUGAGAAACUGCACGCUAGUAAAUUGUGCUGGUCUGUGAGCGAAUGCACUCUUGUAUGUCGUGUUGGUCUGUGAGCGACUGCACGCUAUUAAAUCAUGCUGAUCUGUGAGAGAAUGCACUUUGGUAAUUAGUACUGGUCUGUGAGAGGCUGUACAAUUAUGAUUUACGCCAUUCGAGGAGGGUUUUGGUUUGGAAUUCCAGAAUCAUGCAUUUUGGCAUAUAUGCAUUGCAUUAGAGUGCUUGGCACGCGAGUCAUGUUUGUUAUACUAUGAUGAUUGUAUAUGCAUAUUCGGUUGUUGUUGUGAUUUGCCGUAAUUGCUUUGAGGUGUGAAGUUGGGUUGAUUAAGUUUUGAUGUAAUUAUGUGUUCAUAAUUGAUUUAAUGAAUAUUCGAUGUGUGAAUUUGUGGAGAUUAACUUGGUGUUAAUUAUGUGUUCAUAAUUAAUAACAUUAAUGUUUGAAGUGUUGAUUGAUUUAGAGCCAUUUUAGAAUUGAAAAUCUGCAUUUUCUCAGUUGUAUCAUUUUUCAUCAUUGUUUAUGCAUUUUUGGACAUAUGAAAACCCUUUCGAGGAGUGUGCUAAGACGAAAGGUUCUUUUGAGCAUUUGAAAAUAUAAGAAUUUUGCUAAGUGUUAUUUGUUAAUUUCGGUUGGUGACCCUUUACAAUUAUUGUGAAAAUCUGGACUUUGCCCUCAGAUGAGAACCACGAUUGUCCUACCGGUUAGUACUUUGGAGACGGGCAUGUAGUUAGACAUACCUGACCGAAGCUGUGUUAGGAGGAUCUUGCGGGGCGCGUGGAGAUCACCCGGGUGGUAUAGUGUUUGUAGCAUGAUCAGAUUAGGUGGUUGUAUAAGACUAAAUGUCUUUCUUUUGUGAUUGUAUUUAUUUCAUUUUGGAAGAUUGUAUCUAUGCUUAAACUGUUUGAUGUCUUUUCUUUUGAUGGGUCCAUGUUCCACUUUUUGAUGUGACGUGGGGAAAGUUAAAAUUCUUGGGGCAGUGCUUUUGUACAGGUCUGUCGAGA